Molecule: RNA transcript, 1835 nt
Organism: Asparagus officinalis (garden asparagus)
Lineage: Eukaryota; Viridiplantae; Streptophyta; Magnoliopsida; Asparagales; Asparagaceae
Gene name: glycosyltransferase-like KOBITO 1
Exons: 5
Source: RefSeq, a predicted model, not a curated record
AUAUGGUUAAGAACCCUAACAUUAUAAAAUCCCACAUCCAUGGACGACUAUAACCUUGUACUUUCCUUCUAUUGACAACUGAUUUGAUCGACCUCCAACUCUGAUGUAAAAGAGAAUCAGAGGAAUCUCGAAGAGCCAUGCUAUUACUCGCUAUUUACAAUAAUAAUCUCUCCAUCAAGGAAAUUAACCUUUUUUUACUUCACAGCUGAUACAUAUAUUUUAUUCAUAGGAUAAUUAUACUAUUUGAGCACACUCCACUCUUGAUCCUUGUCUCCAACUACUACUCCUUUAGAUCAAAUAUUCCUCUGAAUAGGCUGCACUCCACUUUUUAGUCGAGGCUUGUGAUAAAUUCUAGCAUAUUAACUCCUUCAUGGCUUCAUGUCGUAACACUUAUCAUUUUUUGAUCAAUGAAAAACUUCAUUCAUUCAUCAAGUGAGCGUUUAUAUUACAUCAAUAUACUCAAAAGUUUGAGAAAUUAAAAAAUACAAAGAGUUUAAUAGCUCAAUCUAGAGGGUGAAAUUUUACCAACAUUGCAUCCAUAGAUCAUAUUCAGCUAGGAUAUGUUUGUUUAGAACAGUAAUAAGCACAAACUACUUUAUUUCUAAAGAUGAGGGAAGAACAAUCAAAUGUAAUAUAGUCACUUGUUUAUGAGGAGAACACCAUGGUAUUUAAUUGGCAACACACCUUCAGAUAAUUCCAAUUUAGAGAAAAUAGUGUUCCUUUAAUUUUUGGAUCUGAGAGAUUUCGCUUUUUAGGAGGCGUUAGGCUUGACUUUUCCUUUAAUUUUUUAGUUUGUUUACUACUAUGUUGGUUAUCGGUUUAAAAUUAUGGAAUUUGUGUUAAUCUUUUUCUUUAGAAUCUAAUAUGUUUUUAAAAUAAAAUGAAUUGAUGUAAGACUUUAAUUUCGGCAUCUGCGUAUUAACUGCUAAGACAUCCUUUUCUCUUAUUUGGGGACGAUGAAGCUUGACGAACUACUAUUUAUAUGUCAAUUUGUAAUGAAUAUUAUUUGAAUUUUCUUUUGUUUUGUUAAUUGUUCUUCUGGACAUAAGCAACAAAUAGCUUUCAAAUCAUGAUCUGGCUCAAGUUUUAUACUUUUUGAUCUCUUGAACUAUGUGAAUAGUUCAUUUGCAUAGUUUCUUCUGCUUGCUCAGUGCUGAAACUUGGAGGGUAACUUUCAUUCUUCUGAUGUAUUAGAUAUAAUUGAAUUCGCAAAUAAUUUAACGUUACUUCUUGUUUCACAUCAAUGUCUAAUUUUUAUAGGCUAAUCUAUUCUGAUGAUUCAUGUUAAUGUAAACUUUCAGAUAUGCAUUACGUGGAGUACUUCAGCUAGCUUAGAGCAAGUUCUGCCCUGGAUGUUUUACCACAAGGUUCUUAGAGUGAUAAACUUCUUUCUGUUUGUAGAAGGAAAGGCUGCAAAACCCGAUCUUUCAACAGUUCUAGAAUCUAUUCCUGGGGUAAAAGUGAUCUACAGAACUAGAGAACUCGAGGAUAAACAUGCUAAGAGAUAUGCAUUACGUGGAGUACUUCAGCUAGCUUAGAGCAAGUUCUGCCCUGGAUGUUUUACCACAAGGUUCUUAGAGUGAUAAACUUCUUUCUGUUUGUAGAAGGAAAGGCUGCAAAACCCGAUCUUUCAACAGUUCUAGAAUCUAUUCCUGGGGUAAAAGUGAUCUACAGAACUAGAGAACUCGAGGAUAAACAUGCUAAGAGAAUGCUGGCAUGGAUUGGAUCAUCCAUCUAGAUACUGAUGAAUUGAUGCAUCUAGUUGGGGCUCUAGAAUAUUCUUUAAGGAGGUUGCUUGCAGAUGUACCUAGCAAUGUUGACAUGGUUAUCUUUCC